Molecule: transfer RNA, 68 nt
Filed under: Marmota monax (woodchuck)
Lineage: Eukaryota; Metazoa; Chordata; Mammalia; Rodentia; Sciuridae
Description: tRNA.Ala
Source: RNAcentral
GGCUUGUGGUUCAGCAGUAGAGCACUUGCCUAGCAUGUGCAAGGCCCUGGGUUCGAUUCUCAGCACCA